This 71-nucleotide transfer RNA is filed under the name Camelus ferus (Wild Bactrian camel). It matches the Rfam family "tRNA". Rfam says of the family: Transfer RNA (tRNA) molecules are approximately 80 nucleotides in length. Their secondary structure includes four short double-helical elements and three loops (D, anti-codon, and T loops). Further hydrogen bonds mediate the characteristic L-shaped molecular structure. tRNAs have two regions of fundamental functional importance: the anti-codon, which is responsible for specific mRNA codon recognition, and the 3' end, to which the tRNAs corresponding amino acid is attached (by aminoacyl-tRNA synthetases). tRNAs cope with the degeneracy of the genetic code in two manners: having more than one tRNA (with a specific anti-codon) for a particular amino acid; and 'wobble' base-pairing, i.e. permitting non-standard base-pairing at the 3rd anti-codon position. Lineage: Eukaryota; Metazoa; Chordata; Mammalia; Artiodactyla; Camelidae. The record is from Rfam by way of RNAcentral.
GGAUACAGCUCAAGUGGUAGAGUGCAUGCUUAACAUGCAUGAGGUCCUAGGUUCAACCCUCAGUGUUUCCU